RNAcentral lists this small RNA (870 nucleotides) under Pongo abelii (Sumatran orangutan). Its description in RNAcentral is "processed transcript". Lineage: Eukaryota; Metazoa; Chordata; Mammalia; Primates; Hominidae. The record is from RNAcentral.
GCACGUCCUGACGCAGCCUGGGCCCGCGGAGGCGGCAAGGGCGGGAGGGAGCGGUCGCCGCGGGAUUUGGAGCUGCCUAGCCUCGCGGUCGCUUCAAGAGAUGGUUCCGUUGCUUUGGGGUGAACUUGGUACCAGUGCCGUGUUACUUAUCCAGUUCUAACUCAAGAAAGUUCUGGAGGGCAUAAUGAUCUUAGAUAAGACCAAGGCCCCGAACCUGACCAUGUUCUGUCUUCCCUCUUUGGCAGCAUGUAAGCAGCUGUUUGCCAAGAACCCAGGUCACUGCUAAGAAAGGGUGUCUUCGGGAGAAGAGUGUCCAGAGGAGACCAAUGCCAGAUGCAUCUGGAGUUACACUCAGCACUUGCAGUAUGAGACAUUGUGUGCCAGCAUCUCCUUCCUUCUGGCAAAGACUGUAGCUCUCCAGGUAGGAGGGUCCUGGAAGCUGUGAGCACCAGGAGCCUUGCCAGAGGAGGAUGGGGCCAGAUAUGAACUCUCUACCAUGAACAUGGUUCUCAGCUUAUAAAGGAAUUUUAAGUAAAACAAUUAUUUAAUUUCCACAUAUUCAAGUUCAAAAGCCUUCUGUGUGAAGUGCCAGUGAUUACCCCUCCAUAGGAGUUAUCAGGAUUUUUCUGGCACCAAGUUGAAUUCUUCUUGGUACUUCUGGUAGUGACAGAUCUGCAGGACAGAUUAUCUAUUGAAUGCUCUUGGGCAGGAAAACCAUGUAAAACCUCUGGAAGCAGCAUCAGGACAGCAGUGCGGAGCCCCCGUCCUCACUGCUCACUUGCACAGAAACUCCAUCUGGACUCGGAUGCUUUUACUGAAGACCCAUCGAGCUUCAUUCAUCUUUAGAGUCCAUCCAUUCUGGGGAGACCU